AAGAAAAAUUUUCAGCUCUAAAAGGGAUCCUAUUGGUUUCUACGUUAAUGAGAUCGGUUGGAUCUGGAUCCCCUAGCGGGCCGAGGCAUUGAAGGUGUGGUUGAUCGGUGGGGAUGACAAUUUUGUUAGACAAUUCCUAGUGGUUUUGGAGAUAAAGAAAAAAGAACGCAAAGAAAAGAAAAGAAAAAUGUUCAGUAAAAUGGAUUGCGGAUGAACAGGGAUGCGAGGAAAAGUAUAAGAGAUGGAAUGAAGAGCUGACCUCAGGGACGAUGAAGUUAAUGGCCAUCUUGCCACGAGGAGAAUGUUUGAGGGCUCCGGGGUUGGUGAGGAAGAGUCUUUGUCGGAGG
This 347-nucleotide long non-coding RNA is filed under the name Sorghum bicolor (sorghum). RNAcentral's name for it is "long non-coding RNA (SBIC_LNC005118)". The record is from RNAcentral. Lineage: Eukaryota; Viridiplantae; Streptophyta; Magnoliopsida; Poales; Poaceae.